UGCAGAAUCCCGUGAACCAUCGAGUUUUUGAACGCAAGUUGCGCCCGAGGGAUCCUCCCGAGGGCACGCCUGCCUGGGUGUUAGAAGCCCAUCAACGCUCGGUCAGCCUCUUUACAAAGGACUGACUUGACGUGGACAAUGGACCUCCGAGCCAGUAAUGGCACGGUGGGCUGAAGUGAAUGGUCGUCGGAUGGUAAUAGGAUCGGCAAGUGGUGGGCUACUGCGCACGCCAAUCCUAGCUGCCAUUUCGACGUAUGGCCUCUAUAUAACCCAGUCGUAACGAGGGGAUUGUUGUCACAGCAUCUUGUUGUGUGACAAUUUCGGACCGAUACCCCAGGUCAGGCGGGGCCACCCGCUGAGUUUAAGCAUAUAAAUAAGCGGAGGAGAAGAAACUUACAAGGAUUCCCCUAGUAACGGCGAGCGAACCGGGAGUAGCCCAGCCUUAGAAUCGUGGUGGCCUUGCUGCCCGA
Molecule: ribosomal RNA, 470 nt
Filed under: Isolepis fluitans
Lineage: Eukaryota; Viridiplantae; Streptophyta; Magnoliopsida; Poales; Cyperaceae
Description: eukaryotic LSU rRNA
Rfam family: Eukaryotic large subunit ribosomal RNA (bases 329-470)
Source: RNAcentral